This 253-nucleotide ribosomal RNA is filed under the name uncultured bacterium. RNAcentral describes it as "partial 16S ribosomal RNA". It matches the Rfam family "Bacterial small subunit ribosomal RNA", at positions 524 to 776 of the family's 1533-position model. The record is from RNAcentral.
UACGUAGGUGACAAGCGUUGUCCGGAUUUACUGGGCGUAAAGAGCGCGCAGGCGGUCGUUCAAGUCGAGUGUGAAAGCCCCCCGCUCAACAGGAGAGGGUGGCUGGAAACUGGCAGGCUUGAGGGCGAGAGAGGAGGGUGGAAUUCCUGGUGUAGCGGUGAAAUGCGUAGAGAUCAGGAGGAACACCCGUGGCGAAGGCGGCCCUCUGGCUCGACCCUGACGCUGAGAGGCGAAAGCGUGGGGAGCGAACGGG